RNAcentral lists this unclassified non-coding RNA (376 nucleotides) under soil metagenome. RNAcentral describes it as "partial contains 5.8S ribosomal RNA, internal transcribed spacer 2, and large subunit ribosomal RNA". The stretch from base 1 to 120 matches the Rfam family "5.8S ribosomal RNA", at positions 35 to 154 of the family's 154-position model. The record is from RNAcentral.
GAUGAAGAACGUAGCGAAAUGCGAUAAGUAAUGUGAAUUGCAGAAUUCAGUGAAUCAUCGAAUCUUUGAACGCAUCUUGCGCUCCUUGGUAUUCUGAGGAGCAUGCCUGUUUGAGUGUCAUUAAAUUCUCAACUACACUGACUUUGAAUUGGUGUGGCUUGGAUUUGGGGGGAAAAUUGUUGUGGGCUUUUUGUAUAGUCUGCUCCCCUGAAAUUGAUUAGCGGUACCUUUGUGGAACUGUCUACAGGUGUGAUAAUUAUCCACAUCUUAGACAUCUGCUGGAAUGCUGCUUUCUAAACCUUACUUGUAUUGACAAUCUUGACCUCAAAUCAGGUAGGACUACCCGCUGAACUUAAGCAUAUCAAUAAGCGGAGGA